UACGUAGGGAGCGAGCGUUGUCCGGAAUUAUUGGGCGUAAAGAGCUCGUAGGCGGUUUGUUGCGUCGGCUGUGAAAUCCCGAGGCUCAACCUCGGGUCUGCAGUCGAUACGAGCAAACUAGAGUGUUGCAGGGGAGACUGGAAUUCCUGGUGUAGCGGUGAAAUGCGCAGAUAUCAGGAGGAACACCGGUGGCGAAGGCGGGUCUCUGGGCAACAACUGACGCUGAGGAGCGAAAGCGUGGGGAGCGAACAGG
RNAcentral lists this ribosomal RNA (253 nucleotides) under uncultured bacterium. RNAcentral's name for it is "partial 16S ribosomal RNA". It matches the Rfam family "Bacterial small subunit ribosomal RNA", at positions 524 to 776 of the family's 1533-position model. The record is from RNAcentral.